GUUCUGGUUGGAGAGUCCAGUGAUAUACGGUUACGAGCUAUCAUGGUGAUAUUAGGAGUUUUGUCCACAUGUAUCCACAGUGUCGGUGAGGUUUGACUACUAUAUGUUGGUGAACAACAUCACGGGGUUGUAGUAGGUACCAAGGGUUGGGCUGUUCGCCAAUUAAAGUGGUACGCGAGCUGGGUUCAGAACGUCGUGAGCCAGUUCGGUCCCUAUCCGUCGCAGGCGUAGGAAAUGUGAGAAGACCUGUCCUUAGUACGAGCGGACCGGGAUGGACGUACCUCUGGUGUACCCGUUGUCCUGCCAAGGGCAUGGCUGGGUAGCUAGGUACGGAAUGGAUAAGCGAUGAAAGAAUC
Molecule: ribosomal RNA, 356 nt
Filed under: Clostridioides difficile
Lineage: Bacteria; Bacillati; Bacillota; Clostridia; Peptostreptococcales; Peptostreptococcaceae
Description: bacterial LSU rRNA
Rfam family: Bacterial large subunit ribosomal RNA
Source: RNAcentral